Molecule: ribosomal RNA, 484 nt
Filed under: uncultured bacterium
Lineage: Bacteria
Description: partial 16S ribosomal RNA
Rfam family: Bacterial small subunit ribosomal RNA
Source: RNAcentral
AUUGAACGCUGGCGGCAGGCCUAACACAUGCAAGUCGAGCGGAUGAAGGGAGCUUGCUCCUGGAUUCAGCGGCGGACGGGUGAGUAAUGCCUAGGAAUCUGCCUGGUAGUGGGGGAUAACGUCCGGAAACGGGCGCUAAUACCGCAUACGUCCUGAGGGAGAAAGUGGGGGAUCUUCGGACCUCACGCUAUCAGAUGAGCCUAGGUCGGAUUAGCUAGUUGGUGGGGUAAAGGCCUACCAAGGCGACGAUCCGUAACUGGUCUGAGAGGAUGAUCAGUCACACUGGAAGUGAGACACGGUCAAGACUCCUAAGGGAGGCAGCAGUGGGGAAUAUUGGACAAUGGGCGAAAGCCUGAUCCAGCCAUGCCGCGUGUGUGAAGAAGGUCUUCGGAUUGUAAAGCACUUUAAGUUGGGAGGAAGGGCAGUAAGUUAAUACCUUGCUGUUUUGACGGUACCAACAGAAUAAGCACCGGCUAACUUCGUG